GACGAACGCUGGCGGCGUGCUUAACACAUGCAAGUCGAACGGAAAGGCCCUGCUUUUUUGGUGUGCUCGAUUGGCGAACGGGUGCGUAACACGUGAGUAUCCUGCCCUUGACUUUGGUAUAACUUCAGGAAACUGGGGCUACUACCGUAUAGGAGCUCCUGCUGCAUGGUGGGGGUUGGAUAGUUUCGGCGGUUGGGGAUGGACUCGCGGCUUAUCAGCUUGUUGGUGGGGUAGUGGCUUACCAAGGCUUUGACGGGUAGCCGGCAUGAGAGGGUGACCGGCCACAUUGGGACUGAGAGACGGACCAGACUCCUACGGGAGGCAGCAGGGGGGAAUAUUGCACAAUGGGCGGAAGCCUGAGGCAGAAACGCCGCGUGCGGGAUGACGGCCUUCGGGUUGUAAACCGCUGUCGCCUGUGACGAAGCGUGAGUGACGGUAAUGGGUAAAGAAGCACCGGCUAACUACGUG
Molecule: ribosomal RNA, 468 nt
Filed under: uncultured bacterium
Lineage: Bacteria
Description: partial 16S ribosomal RNA
Rfam family: Bacterial small subunit ribosomal RNA
Source: RNAcentral